Molecule: ribosomal RNA, 253 nt
Filed under: uncultured bacterium
Lineage: Bacteria
Description: partial 16S ribosomal RNA
Rfam family: Bacterial small subunit ribosomal RNA
Source: RNAcentral
UACGGAGGAUGCAAGCGUUAUCCGGAAUGAUUGGGCGUAAAGCGUCCGCAGGUGGUUGGGUGUGUCUAUUGUCAAAGCAUCAUGCUUAACAUGAUAAAGGCAGUAGAAACUACACGUCUAGAGUGCAUUCGGGGCAGAGGGAAUUCCUGGUGUAGCGGUGAAAUGCGUAGAGAUCAGGAAGAACACCGGUGGCGAAAGCGCUCUGCUAGGCCGCAACUGACACUGAGGGACGAAAGCUAGGGGAGCGAAUGGG